UCAACCUCCCACCCGUGUUUAUUUUACCUUGUUGCUUCGGCGGGCCCGCCUUAACUGGCCGCCGGGGGGCUUACGCCCCCGGGCCCGCGCCCGCCGAAGACACCCUCGAACUCUGUCUGAAGAUUGAAGUCUGAGUGAAAAUAUAAAUUAUUUAAAACUUUCAACAACGGAUCUCUUGGUUCCGGCAUCGAUGAAGAACGCAGCGAAAUGCGAUACGUAAUGUGAAUUGCAAAUUCAGUGAAUCAUCGAGUCUUUGAACGCACAUUGCGCCCCCUGGUAUUCCGGGGGGCAUGCCUGUCCGAGCGUCAUUGCUGCCCUCAAGCCCGGCUUGUGUGUUGGGCCCCGUCCCCCGAUCUCCGGGGGACGGGCCCGAAAGGCAGCGGCGGCACCGCGUCCGGUCCUCGAGCGUAUGGGGCUUUGUCACCCGCUCUGUAGGCCCGGCCGGCGCUUGCCGAUCAACCCAAAUUUUUAUCCAGGUUGACCUCGGAUCAGGUAGGGAUACCCGCUGAACUUAAGCAUAUCAAUAAGGCGGAGGAA
This 537-nucleotide ribosomal RNA is filed under the name Penicillium crustosum. Its description in RNAcentral is "eukaryotic LSU rRNA". The stretch from base 156 to 308 matches the Rfam family "5.8S ribosomal RNA". The record is from RNAcentral. Lineage: Eukaryota; Fungi; Ascomycota; Eurotiomycetes; Eurotiales; Aspergillaceae.